UACGUAGGGCGCAAGCGUUGUCCGGAAUUAUUGGGCGUAAAGAGCUCGUAGGCGGUCUGUCACGUCGGUUGUGAAAACCCAAGGCUCAACCUUGGGCCUGCAAUCGAUACGGGCAGACUAGAGUACUGCAGGGGAGACUGGAGUUCCUGGUGUAGCGGUGGAAUGCGCAGAUAUCAGGAGGAACACCGGUGGCGAAGGCGGGUCUCUGGGCAGUAACUGACGCUGGAGGAGCGAAAGCGUGGGGAGCAAACAGG
This 254-nucleotide ribosomal RNA is filed under the name uncultured bacterium. RNAcentral describes it as "partial 16S ribosomal RNA". It matches the Rfam family "Bacterial small subunit ribosomal RNA", at positions 524 to 776 of the family's 1533-position model. The record is from RNAcentral.